CUGGCCCUAAACGAUGUGCACUAGGUCGUAGGAACUCUGACGUUCUUAUGGCUGAAACGAAAGCGUUAAGUGCACCGCCUGGGAAGUACGGUCGCAAGGCUAAAACUCAAAGAAAUUGACGGGGGCUCACACAAGCGGUGGAGCAUGUGGUUUAAUUCGAAGCAACGCGCAGAACCUUACCUGGGUUUGAAAUUCUUGGAUUAUCUUGAUGAAAGUCGAGUAGGCCCUUCGGGGUACAACAAGAACAGGUGC
RNAcentral lists this ribosomal RNA (252 nucleotides) under uncultured bacterium. Its description in RNAcentral is "partial 16S ribosomal RNA". It matches the Rfam family "Bacterial small subunit ribosomal RNA", at positions 796 to 1041 of the family's 1533-position model. The record is from RNAcentral.